RNAcentral lists this ribosomal RNA (445 nucleotides) under uncultured bacterium. Its description in RNAcentral is "partial 16S ribosomal RNA". It matches the Rfam family "Bacterial small subunit ribosomal RNA", at positions 354 to 796 of the family's 1533-position model. The record is from RNAcentral.
GUGAGGAAUAUUGGACAAUGGGCGCAAGCCUGAUCCAGCCAUGCCGCGUGCAGGAAGACGCAUCUAUGGUGUGUAAACUGCUUUUGUACGGGAAGAAACACUCCCUCGUGAGGGAGCUUGACGGUACCGUAAGAAUAAGGAUCGGCUAACUCCGUGCCAGCAGCCGCGGUAAUACGGAGGAUCCAAGCGUUAUCCGGAAUCAUUGGGUUUAAAGGGUCCGUAGGCGGUUGAAUAAGUCAGUGGUGAAAGCCCAUCGCUCAACGAUGGAACGGCCAUUGAUACUGUUAGACUUGAAUUACAAGGAAGUAACUAGAAUAUGUAGUGUAGCGGUGAAAUGCUUAGAUAUUACAUGGAAUACCAAUUGCGAAGGCAGGUUACUACUUGUGGAUUGACGCUGAUGGACGAAAGCGUGGGGAGCGAACAGGAUUAGAUACCCCGGUAGUCC